AUGGCUCAGGACGAACGCUGGCGGCACGCUUAACACAUGCAAGUCGAACGAGCGAAAGGUGCUUGCACCUCUAGCUAGUGGCGGACGGGUGAGUAACACGUGAGCAAUCUGCCUUUCGGUGGGGGAUACCAAUUGGAAACGAUUGUUAAUACCCCAUAACAUAACGAAGCCGCAUGACUUUGUUAUCAAAGAUUUAUUGCCGGAAGAUGAGCUCGCGUCUGAUUAGGUAGUUGGUGAGGUAACGGCUCACCAAGCCGACGAUCAGUAGCCGGACUGAGAGGUUGAACGGCCACAUUGGGACUGAGACACGGCCCAGACUCCUACGGGAGGCAGCAGUGGGGAAUAUUGCACAAUGGGCGAAAGCCUUGAUGCAGCGAUGCCGCGUGAGGGAAGAAGGUUUUAGGAUUGUAAACCUCUGUCUUUGGGGACGAUAAUGACGGUACCCAAGGAGGAAGCUCCGGCUAACUACGUGCCAGCCGCGGC
This 483-nucleotide ribosomal RNA is filed under the name uncultured bacterium. Its description in RNAcentral is "bacterial SSU rRNA". It matches the Rfam family "Bacterial small subunit ribosomal RNA", at positions 19 to 518 of the family's 1533-position model. The record is from RNAcentral.